GGCUCAGAUUGAACGCUGGCGGCAUGCCUUACACAUGCAAGUCGAACGGCAGCACGGGUGCUUGCACCUGGUGGCGAGUGGCGAACGGGUGAGUAAUAUAUCGGAACGUACCUUAUUGUGGGGGAUAACGCAGCGAAAGCUGUGCUAAUACCGCAUAAUCCCUUAGGGGGAAAGCGGGGGACCGUAAGGCCUCGCGCAAUUAGAGCGGCCGAUACCUGAUUAGCUAGUUGGUGAGGUAAAGGCUCACCAAGGCAACGAUCAGUAGCUGGUCUGAGAGGACGAUCAGCCACACUGGGACUGAGACACGGCCCAGACUCCUACGGGAGGCAGCAGUAAGGAAUAUUGGACAAUGGUCGGAAGACUGAUCCAGCCAUGCCGCGUGAAGGAUGAAGGCGCUCAGCGUUGUAAACUUCUUUUGUACGGGAACAAAAUGCGACCUGCGGGUUGUACUGAGGGUACCGUAAGAAUAAGCACCGGCUAACUCCGUG
This 488-nucleotide ribosomal RNA is filed under the name uncultured bacterium. RNAcentral describes it as "bacterial SSU rRNA". It matches the Rfam family "Bacterial small subunit ribosomal RNA", at positions 21 to 507 of the family's 1533-position model. The record is from RNAcentral.